GGGCUCACACAAGCGGUGGAGCAUGUGGCUUAAUUCGAGGCAACGCGAAGAACCUUAUCCUGGGUUUGACAUGUACGGAUGGCUCGCCUGAAAGGGAUGAGUCUGCCUUCGGGUGAAACGUACACAGGUGCUGCAUGGCUGUCGUCAGCUCGUGUCGUGAGAUGUAGGGUUAAGUCCCGCAACGAGCGCAACCCACGUCUUUAGUUGCCAGCAUUUAGUUGGGCACUCUAGAGAGACCGCCGGUGAUAAACCGGAGGAAGGUGUGGAUGACGUCAAGUCAUCAUGCCCCUUACAUCCUGGGCUACACACGUACUACAAUGCUACGGACAAAGAGCAGCAAGUUCGCGAGGACAAGCAAAUCCCAUAAACCGUGGCUCAGUUCAGAUCGUAGGCUGCAACUCGCCUACGUGAAGGAGGAAUCGCUAGUAA
RNAcentral lists this ribosomal RNA (429 nucleotides) under uncultured bacterium. RNAcentral describes it as "bacterial SSU rRNA". It matches the Rfam family "Bacterial small subunit ribosomal RNA", at positions 917 to 1341 of the family's 1533-position model. The record is from RNAcentral.